GUCCCAACUUAGGAACCUCAUCCUAGAUCUCCCAAAAAUCUCAAAAUCUCUCAAAAUCGAGAUCUACUCUCCCCAAAUUUACUGCUCUCAUGGCUCAUUUUUCUGAUUUCCCCAAAUUCCAAAUCCUAAUCCUUAAAUCCAUGAGAAACUUUUCAAAAAUCAUCUUCUCCACUUAGUUUCACUUCAAUCCACAUCCUUCUCUACCCUCUUGACCAUUAUCCACCCUCUUCUUGGGACAUAGCCCCCAAAAUGAGAAUGCCACAA
RNAcentral lists this long non-coding RNA (264 nucleotides) under Elaeis guineensis (African oil palm). Its description in RNAcentral is "long non-coding RNA (EGUI_LNC032711)". Lineage: Eukaryota; Viridiplantae; Streptophyta; Magnoliopsida; Arecales; Arecaceae. The record is from RNAcentral.